RNAcentral lists this microRNA precursor (105 nucleotides) under Marmota monax (woodchuck). The record is from RNAcentral. Lineage: Eukaryota; Metazoa; Chordata; Mammalia; Rodentia; Sciuridae.
AUAUAAAUCACUUGGGGAUCUUGUUAAAAUACUCAUUCUGAUUCCAUAGGUCUGAAGUUAGGCCUAAGAUUGUGUAUUUAUAACCAGCUUUCAGUUGUUGAGGGG